GCGAGCUGCCGGCGUACCUAAUACAUGCAAGUAGACGCUGAAGGAGGAGCUGCUUCUCUGGAUGAGUUGCGAACGGGUGAGUAACGCGUAGGUACCUGCCUGGUAGCGGGGGAUAACUAUUGGAAACGAUAGCUAAUACCGCAUAACAGUAGAUAUCGCAUGGUAGCUGCUUGAAAGUUCAAAUGCACCACUACCCAGAUGGACCUGCGUUGUAUUAGCUAGUUGGUGAGGUAACGGCUCACCAAGGCAACGAUACAUAGCCGACCUGAGAGGGUGAUCGGCCACACUGGGACUGAGACACGGCCCAGACUCCUACGGGAGGCAGCAGUAGGGAAUCUUCGGCAAUGGACGGAAGUCUGACCGAGCAACGCCGCGUGAGUGAAGAAGGUUUUCGGAUCGUAAAGCUCUGUUGUAAGAGAAGAACGAGUGUGAGAGUGGAAAGUUCACACUGUGACGGUAUCUUACCAGAAAGGGACGGCUAACUACGUGCCAGCAGCCGCGGUAAUACGUAGGUCCCGAGCGUUGUCCGGAUUUAUUGGGCGUAAAGCGAGCGCAGGCGGUUAGAUAAGUCUGAAGUUAAAGGCUGUGGCUUAACCAUAGUACGCUUUGGAAACUGGUUAACUUGAGUGCAAGAGGGGAGAGUGGAAUUCCAUGUGUAGCGGUGAAAUGCGUAGAUAUAUGGAGAACACGGUGGCGAAGCGCUCUCUGGCUUGUAACUGACGCUGAGGCUCGAAAGCGUGGGAGCAACAGAUAGAUACCUUAAGUUCUACUCACUA
This 776-nucleotide ribosomal RNA is filed under the name uncultured Streptococcus sp. RNAcentral's name for it is "bacterial SSU rRNA". It matches the Rfam family "Bacterial small subunit ribosomal RNA", at positions 29 to 804 of the family's 1533-position model. The record is from RNAcentral. Lineage: Bacteria; Bacillati; Bacillota; Bacilli; Lactobacillales; Streptococcaceae.